Molecule: long non-coding RNA, 1237 nt
Filed under: Marmota monax (woodchuck)
Lineage: Eukaryota; Metazoa; Chordata; Mammalia; Rodentia; Sciuridae
Source: RNAcentral
GCCAUCCCUGGUACCUAGUCCCUACUGCCCCUGUCAUGGCACCUUUCGUUUUUUUGGUGCGCUCACCAGCUCACAGGCAGACUAUGACUAAGCCAUCUCUGAAGCUCCAGUGGAGGUGCUGAACAACUCUUGGGUGAAUCCAUAAUGAACAAAUCUAAACAGCCCUGAGGAGGGUGUGGAUGUGAGGCAACUGCACAGGGCAGAUGUGGAAUGAGAGGAGACUCGGUUUCAGAAGGUGGAGGCGGCCAGCUUCUCAGGAGGUUCAGAAGAGGUAGUCCUGUAACACCCAUCAAAGCUGCGUGAGUGGUGGCAGCCUACUGCCUAGUUCCCCUGUGGGGUGAAAAUAAUGGGAUCUUGAACACUCACUUGCAUACGGCUUUGCAGGGUGGAUGUCAAGAGUGUAGAUGGAGGCCUACAUACUAUGUAUCUGAAAACCUCAGAGUUACAAAAUAAGCCAACAACUGUUGAAUAUGGUUUGUUUUCUAUUCUAUCCUAUCCUCUUCUUUACCUUGAUAAACAUACCUUCCUAAUGGCCUGGAAGCUAAUUGGAAUUCUCAGAGUUCUUGGGAAUGUGGUGGCACAAGAACUAGACCCCGGCCCUUAGACUUCUCUUUCUACUGAUAGUAAGCAGAACAAGGCCCUUCCAGUGUCCAUACCCUAAUCCUGAGAACCUAUGAAUAUAUUUGUUGAGAGCCACAGCCAAGUCGGAAUGGCCGCUGGCAUUUUGCCAGAAGGAAUGGUUUCGAGGUGACCCCAGGGAGCCAUUAAGAUGAUGGUAAUUAAGUUAAGCUGUGUAUAAUUGCUGUGAAUGGAUGAUGCUGGAUUGAAACAGGCUGUGUAUUAAUUUGUAGAUAGACCCCUGCUGUCCGGCAAUAGGGCGGCUCCUGCUGCCUCACUACUUUUGAGUUCUCGAGGAGUUCCCAGUUGAGUUCCGGUUGAGCUCUCGGGGAUUCCUGGAGAGUUCGAGUUGGUUGGUGAAGUUCCGGUGGAGGGAGUUCCGUUUGGUGUGUGGUGUUCCUGGGAAUUUGGGCAAUAAAGGAGUUCCUGUUUGAACCUACAAGUGCCUCAUGGCGGCUCCAUUAUUUUGUGCCCAGCCAGACUGCGGCAUAUAUUAUCUUAAUAUGACAAGGGAGAUUAAAAUUCCUAGUCAUCUAACCCACAAAACAGGGAGAUUAUCCUGGAUUAUCAAAUGGGCUCAAUGUAAUCACAAAGAUCUAAAAGUGAAAAGAGGGAACAG